This 35-nucleotide ribosomal RNA is filed under the name Pleopsidium chlorophanum. RNAcentral's name for it is "partial 28S ribosomal RNA". Lineage: Eukaryota; Fungi; Ascomycota; Lecanoromycetes; Acarosporales; Acarosporaceae. The record is from RNAcentral.
GUUGACCUCGGAUCAGGUAGGGAUACCCGCUGACU